Molecule: ribosomal RNA, 460 nt
Filed under: uncultured bacterium
Lineage: Bacteria
Description: partial 16S ribosomal RNA
Rfam family: Bacterial small subunit ribosomal RNA
Source: RNAcentral
CCUACGGGUGGCAGCAGUGAGGAAUAUUGGUCAAUGGGCGCAAGCCUGAACCAGCCAAGUCGCGUGAGGGAUGACGGUCCUAUGGAUUGUAAACCUCUUUUGUCGGGGAGCAAGGCCCGCCACGUGUGGCGGGAAGGAGAGUACCCGAAGAAAAAGCAUCGGCUACCCCCGUGCCAGCAGCCGCGGUAAUACGGAGGAUGCGCGCUGUAUCCGGAUUUUUGGGGUUUAAAGGGUGCGUGGGCGGAAGGUUAAGUCAGCGGGAAAAUGUCGGGGCUCAACACCGGCCUGCCGUUGAAACUGGUCGUCUUGAGUGAGCGAGAAGUAUGCGGAAUGCGUGGUGUAGCGGUGAAAUGCAUAGAUAUCACGCAGAACUCCGAUUGCGAAGGCAGCAUACCGGCGCUCAACUGACGCUGAGGCACGAAAGCGUGGGGAUCGAACAGGAUUAGAUACCCCUGUAGUC